This 254-nucleotide ribosomal RNA is filed under the name uncultured bacterium. RNAcentral describes it as "partial 16S ribosomal RNA". It matches the Rfam family "Bacterial small subunit ribosomal RNA", at positions 524 to 776 of the family's 1533-position model. The record is from RNAcentral.
UACAGAGACUGCAAGCGUUAUUCGGAUUCACUGGGCGUAAAGGGUGCGCAGGCGGUUGGGUGUGUCAGAUGUGAAAUCCCGAGGCUUAACCUCGGAACUGCGUCUGAAACUACUCGACUAGAGUAUUGGAGAGGGUAACGGAAUUCCCCGGUGUAGUGGUGGGAAUGCGUAGAUAUCGGGAGGAACACCAGUGGCGAAGGCGGUUGCCUGGAGCUUGCUGACGCUGAGGCGCGAAAGCGUGGGGAGCGAUCCGG